UACUUAUCCAGAAAGACAGAGGGAAAGGCCCUAUGACGUCUUAGCAACCUGUACCUGCUUAUAUUAGCAAGUAAAAGGUGCUAAUUCCUGCUCCGGAAACGGAGACAGAUAAGAA
This 115-nucleotide non-coding RNA is filed under the name Mucilaginibacter mallensis. RNAcentral describes it as "SAM-I sequence". It matches the Rfam family "SAM riboswitch aptamer (S box leader)". Rfam says of the family: The SAM riboswitch is found upstream of a number of genes which code for proteins involved in methionine or cysteine biosynthesis in Gram-positive bacteria. The record is from Rfam by way of RNAcentral. Lineage: Bacteria; Pseudomonadati; Bacteroidota; Sphingobacteriia; Sphingobacteriales; Sphingobacteriaceae.